This 253-nucleotide ribosomal RNA is filed under the name uncultured bacterium. RNAcentral's name for it is "partial 16S ribosomal RNA". It matches the Rfam family "Bacterial small subunit ribosomal RNA", at positions 524 to 776 of the family's 1533-position model. The record is from RNAcentral.
UACGGGGGGGGCAAGCGUUGUUCGGAAUUACUGGGCGUAAAGGGUCUGUAGGUGGCUUGCUAAGUCAGACGUGAAAUCCCUCAGCUUAACUGGGGAACUGCGUCUGAUACUGGCAAGCUUGAGUGCAGGAGAGGAACGCGGAAUUCCAGGUGUAGCGGUGAAAUGCGUAGAUAUCUGGAGGAAUACCGGUGGCGAAGGCGGCAUCCUGGACCAUUACUGACGCUGAGGCGCGAAAGCUAGGGGAGCAAACGGG